RNAcentral lists this ribosomal RNA (406 nucleotides) under uncultured bacterium. RNAcentral's name for it is "partial 16S ribosomal RNA". It matches the Rfam family "Bacterial small subunit ribosomal RNA", at positions 30 to 526 of the family's 1533-position model. The record is from RNAcentral.
AUUGAACGCUGGCGGCAGGCCUAACACAUGCAAGUCGAGCGAGCGGCGGACGGGUGAGUAAUGUCUGGGAAACUGCCUGAUGGAGGGGGACAACUACUGGAACCGGUAGCUAAUACCGCAUACCAUCAGAUGUGCCCAGAUGGGAUUAGCUAGUAGGUGGGGUAAUGGCUCACCUAGGCGACGAUCCCUAGCUGGUCUGAGAGGAUGACCUGCCACCCUGGAACUGAGACAGGGUCCAGACUCCUACGGGAGGCAGCAGUGGGGAAUAUUGCGCAAUGGGCGCAAGGCUGAUGGAGCCAAGCCGCUUGUGUGAAGAAGGCCUUCGGUGUGUAAAGCACUUUCAGCGAGGAUGCGUUACUCGCAGAAGAAGCACCGGCUAACUCCGUGCCAGCAGCCGCGGUAAUAC